GAUGAACGCUGGCGGCGUGCCUAAUACAUGCAAGUCGAGCGAACGGACGAGAAGCUUGCUUUUCUGAUGUUAGCGGCGGACGGGUGAGUAACACGUGGAUAACCUACCUAUAAGACUGGGAUAACUUCGGGAAACCGGAGCUAAUACCGGAUAAUAUUUUGAACCGCAUGGUUCAAAAGUGAAAGACGGUCUUGCUGUCACUUAUAGAUGGAUCCGCGCUGCAUUAGCUAGUUGGUAAGGUAACGGCUUACCAAGGCAACGAUGCAUAGCCGACCUGAGAGGGUGAUCGGCCACACUGGAACUGAGACACGGUCCAGACUCCUACGGGAGGCAGCAGUAGGGAAUAUUCCGCAAAGGGCGAAAGCCUGACGGAGCAACGCCGCGUGAGUGAUGAAGGUCUUCGGAUCGUAAAACUCUGUUAUUAGGGAAGAACAUAUGUGUAAGUAACUGUGCACAUCUUGACGGUACCUAAUCAGAAAGCCACGGCUAACUACGUG
RNAcentral lists this ribosomal RNA (497 nucleotides) under uncultured bacterium. RNAcentral describes it as "partial 16S ribosomal RNA". It matches the Rfam family "Bacterial small subunit ribosomal RNA", at positions 28 to 507 of the family's 1533-position model. The record is from RNAcentral.